RNAcentral lists this ribosomal RNA (468 nucleotides) under uncultured bacterium. RNAcentral describes it as "partial 16S ribosomal RNA". It matches the Rfam family "Bacterial small subunit ribosomal RNA", at positions 28 to 507 of the family's 1533-position model. The record is from RNAcentral.
GACGAACGCUGGCGGCGUGCUUAACACAUGCAAGUCGAACGGAAAGGCCCUGCUUUUGUGGGGUGCUCGAGUGGCGAACGGGUGAGUAACACGUGAGUAACCUGCCCUUGACUUUGGGAUAACUUCAGGAAACUGGGGCUAAUACCGGAUAGGAGCUCCUGCUGCAUGGUGGGGGUUGGAAAGUUUCGGCGGUUGGGGAUGGACUCGCGGCUUAUCAGCUUGUUGGUGGGGUAGUGGCUUACCAAGGCUUUGACGGGUAGCCGGCCUGAGAGGGUGACCGGCCACAUUGGGACUGAGAUACGGCCCAGAAUGCUACGGGAGGCAGCGGUGGGGAAUAUUGCACAAUGGGCGGAAGCCUGAUGCAGAAACGCCGCGUGCGGGAUGACCGCCUUCGGGUUAUAAACCGAUUUCGCCUGUGACGAAGCGUGAGUGACGGUAAUGGGUAAAGAAGCACCGGCUAACUACGUG